UCUUUUAAGUGUGUGCCAGCAGCCGCGGUAAUACGUAUGGUGCAAGCGUUAUCCGGAUUUACUGGGUGUAAAGGGUGAGUAGGCGGUCAUGCAAGUCAUAUGUGAAAUGUCAGGGCUUAACCUUGGCGCUGCAUAAGAAACUGUAUGACUAGAGUGCAGGAGAGGUAAGCGGAAUUCCUAGUGUAGCGGUGAAAUGCGUAGAUAUUAGGAAGAACACCGGUGGCGAAGGCGGCUUACUGGACUGUUACUGACGCUGAGUCACGAAAGCGUGGGGAGCAAACAGG
RNAcentral lists this ribosomal RNA (284 nucleotides) under [Clostridium] colinum. RNAcentral describes it as "partial 16S ribosomal RNA". It matches the Rfam family "Bacterial small subunit ribosomal RNA", at positions 493 to 776 of the family's 1533-position model. The record is from RNAcentral. Lineage: Bacteria; Bacillati; Bacillota; Clostridia; Lachnospirales; Lachnospiraceae.